GAAAAUUUUGCUUGAGGGAACUCAAAUGUGCUUGACAAAUGAAAGAACAGAGAGACGUUAUAAUAGUAAGAAGACUGGCGAACAAUAAUAGAAUAGUAACUUAGAAGAAAUCAAACACAAACUGAACAAUAAAAGCAGUUUUACAAGGCACCAGAGCCGGCACCAAUGGACCAAUUUGUUUUCCACAAGUGCUAAUGUACAUUAUAAUCUCGCGCAUAUCAACAAGAAUGGCUAAAAAGAGGCCAAAUCAUUUGCAAGAC
RNAcentral lists this unclassified non-coding RNA (260 nucleotides) under Hevea brasiliensis (rubber tree). Lineage: Eukaryota; Viridiplantae; Streptophyta; Magnoliopsida; Malpighiales; Euphorbiaceae. The record is from RNAcentral.